AGACUACUUAGUGGCGGACGGGUGAGUAACGCGUGAGCAAUCUGCCCUUAAGAGGGGGACAACAGUUGGAAACGACUGCUAAUACCGCAUAAAGUAUCUUUACCGCAUGGUUUAGAUACCAAAGGAGAAAUCCGCUUUUGGAUGAGCUCGCGUCUGAUUAGCUAGUUGGUAGGGUAACGGCCUACCAGGGCGACGAUCAGUAGCCGGACUGAGAGGUUGAACGGCCACAUUGGGACUGAGAUACGGCCCAGACUCCUACGGGAGGCAGCAGUGGGGAAUAUUGCACAAUGGGGGAAACCCUGAUGCAGCAACGCCGCGUGAAGGAAGACGGUCUUCGGAUUGUAAACUUCUUUUCUGAAGGACGAUAGUGACGGUACUUCAGGAAUAAGCCACGGCUAACUACGUGCCAGCAGCCGCGGUAAUACGUAGGUGGCAAGCGUUAUCCGGAUUUACUGGGUGUAAAGGGCGUGUAGGCGGGACUGCAAGUCAGAAGUGAAAACUAUGGGCUCAACCCAUAGACUGCUUUUGAAACUGUAGUUCUUGAGUGAUGGAGAGGCAGGCGGAAUUCCCGGUGUAGCGGUGAAAUGCGUAGAUAUCGGGAGGAACACCAGUGGCGAAGGCGGCCUGCUGGACAUUAACUGACGCUGAGGAGCGAAAGCAUGGGGAGCGAACAGGAUUAGAUACCCUGGUAGUCCAUGCCGUAAACGUUGGGCACUAGGUGUGGGGGACAUUCCACGUUUUCCGCGCCGUAGCUAACGCAUUAAGUGCCCCGCCUGGGGAGUACGGCCGCAAGGCUAAAACUCAAAGGAAUUGACGGGGGGCCGCACAAGCGGCGGAGCAUGCGGAUUAAUUCGAUGCAACGCGAAGAACCUUACCAAGGCUUGACAUGAACCGGAAAGGCCUGGAAACAGGUCCCCCACUUGUGGCCGGUUUACAGGUGGUGCAUGGUUGUCGUCAGCUCGUGUCGUGAGAUGUUGGGUUAAGUCCCGCAACGAGCGCAACCCUCGUUCUAUGUUGCCAGCGGGUUAUGCCGGGGACUCAUAGGAGACUGCCGGGGUCAACUCGGAGGAAGGUGGGGACGACGUCAAAUCAUCAUGCCCCUUAUGUCUUGGGCUUCACGCAUGCUACAAUGGCCGGUACAAAGGGUUGCGAUACUGUGAGGUGGAGCUAAUCCCAAAAAGCCGGUCUCAGUUCGGAUUGAGGUCUGCAACUCGACCUCAUGAAGUUGGAGUCGCUAGUAAUCGCAGAUCAGCAACGCUGCGGUGAAUACGUUCCCGGGCCUUGCACACACCGCCCGUCA
Molecule: ribosomal RNA, 1300 nt
Filed under: uncultured bacterium
Lineage: Bacteria
Description: bacterial SSU rRNA
Rfam family: Bacterial small subunit ribosomal RNA
Source: RNAcentral